RNAcentral lists this ribosomal RNA (211 nucleotides) under uncultured bacterium. Its description in RNAcentral is "partial 16S ribosomal RNA". It matches the Rfam family "Bacterial small subunit ribosomal RNA", at positions 1290 to 1500 of the family's 1533-position model. The record is from RNAcentral.
AGUUCGGAUUGUAGUCUGCAACCCGACUACAUGAAGCUGGAAUCGCUAGUAAUCGCGAAUCAGCAUGUCGCGGUGAAUACGUUCCCGGGUCUUGUACACACCGCCCGUCACACCAUGGGAGUUGGUAACGCCCGAAGUCAGUGACCUAACCGCAAGGGAGGAGCUGCCGAAGGUGGGGCCAGUAACUGGGGUGAAGUCGUAACAAGGUAGC